GAUGAACGCUGGCGGCGUGCUUAACACAUGCAAGUCGAACGGACAGACGCUGAGUUUGUUGGGUUCUCGAGUGGCGAACGCGUGAGUGACACGCGAGUAACCUCCCCUUGACUGUGGGAUAACUUCAGGAAACUCGGGCUAAUACCGGGUAGAAUCUCCUGCUGCAUGUGGUUGGUUGGAAAGUUUCGGCGGUUGGGGCUCGACUCGCUGCUUAUCAGCUUGUUUGUGGGGUAGUGGCUUACGAAGGUUUUGAAGGGUAGCCGGCCUGAGAGGGUGACCGGCCACAUUGGGACUGAGAGACGGACCAGACUCCUACGGGAGGCAGCAGUGGGGAAUAUUGCACAAUGGGGGGAAGCCUGAGGCAGCAACGCCGCGUGCGGGAUGACGGCCUUCGGGUUGUAAACCGCUUUCGCCUGUGACGAAGCGUGAGUGACGGUAAUGGGUAAAAAAGCACCGGCUAACUACGUG
RNAcentral lists this ribosomal RNA (468 nucleotides) under uncultured bacterium. RNAcentral describes it as "partial 16S ribosomal RNA". It matches the Rfam family "Bacterial small subunit ribosomal RNA", at positions 28 to 507 of the family's 1533-position model. The record is from RNAcentral.